Molecule: non-coding RNA, 23 nt
Filed under: Plasmodium falciparum 3D7
Lineage: Eukaryota; Apicomplexa; Aconoidasida; Haemosporida; Plasmodiidae
Source: RNAcentral
CUUGUUUAACUUGUUCUCCUGAU